Molecule: long non-coding RNA, 1608 nt
Organism: Cyprinus carpio carpio
Lineage: Eukaryota; Metazoa; Chordata; Actinopteri; Cypriniformes; Cyprinidae
Source: Ensembl
CUUAGGAAUGGUUGCAAGUAGUUGAUGAGAUUAAAAAAUAAUCUUGGUAUUAUACUUUACCUGUGUCAGAAAAUACUCUGACGGCAUAUUUUGUCCAGAGAUGUUUGUCUGGAAUGGCACAUUUUAUGACUUUGGUCCCAACAUUUGAAUUGGGCCAAUAGCAGAACAGUACCUUUCAGACAGAGACAAGGAUGCUUGCUUAAUGUUUUCUACAUAGUUGAUUAAUAAAUCAUAAAUGAUUAAUGUAUAUCAUUUAUGUUUUAUAAAAACAUAUAUGAACUAAAUCCUACCCCAUCGAUCUUUUCGAGCCAUGAAGAUGGUGCCACCUCAACCUCAUUUUGCUCAAUGAAAUUGAGUACUACAUAGCGAAGAUAAACCUGCAAGUGAAGUUUAGAUAAAUCUGUUUUCAAAAAAGAAUGGCACUGGAGAGCAAAUCACCAGAAGACAGAAGGAAGCUGUAGGAGGCAGAAACUCAUGGGACAAAUCUUCACAAAGCAGAAGCUGUAGAAGGCAGAGACUCAGGGGCAAAGCUUCAGGACCCAGAAUCUCAGGGGUAAAGCCGAAGCAGUUACACUCACAGAGGACAAAGCUUCAGGAGGCGAAGACUCAGGGGUGAAGCUGAAGGAUGUAGAGCCUCAAGGAGCAAAGGGAUACUUCAAAAGGUAUGAAGAAUGGACACCUCAAUUUUGAUCCCGUAGUUUUCCUCCACGGUGAAUGCCCUCCUCUGAAGGGACUUUCUUUCUAAGCAAAGCAUUUGAGAAUGCCUGAUGUUAGCCAUGUAUGUUCCAUAGAGGCGUGAAUCACACGGUGUUGUCAGAUAUGGCUGUAGAUUUGUGUACACCCUGCAUAACACUGUGUUGUCCGCUUGUUCUGACACCACCUCGCAAAAUUGUUCAGGGCCUAACACAAAGGCAUUGUUUGCGCACUUGAAUGACAUCAAGUUUUCCUUGAUUUCUGUCUUGGACUUAGAUGUUUCCUCAAGACGAUUUGCAACUUGUGCCAAAACAUUUUUUCCAGAUCGGACCAUUUUUUUCAUUUGAUGAAGAUAGCUCUCAAACUUGAAAGCACUGCAGCUGUCAAGGCUGCCAAAGUUUUGGGCAUCUUCUGCAAGGUGCAGCAAGGAAUGGACAUUGUAUACCAAAAAUGUCACUCCAUACAGCUCCCGUCCUCUGUCUACAAAAUACUUAAGCAGCUGGUUUGCAUAAGCUCCUUGUGACUUUGUGAGAUCAGGAUUCACCAAAAUGCAAAGAGCCGUGCUGAAGCUCAAGAAGUGUGCAUAGAGAUGGUCUUGGAGAAUUCCCUUUAGAACAAUCUUCCCAGUGUAGAUAGCAAACUGUCUGAACUCUGUUGCUUUCCAGCGAUCUAUUUCCUGCAAGCCCCUUGGCUUCCUGGCAAAGCAAUCUGGAAUGGACUUCUUUAGUGACACCAGCCUCUCGCUUACACUGGUCACAUCUCCUGAUGACAUCCGGAAAUCUGUUCUCCCUCUUGUCCACAAGAGCAGCAGCUUUUUCAUUACCCCGAGACAGCUCUGGUGCAUAUAAUCUAUGGGGAAUGAUUUGAUCAUGUCAAUCGGGAGGACAGAGAAGGGAUAUGUCAUCCGACCUUCCC